CAACUCUGUUUCAUAACUGAAAG
This 23-nucleotide non-coding RNA is filed under the name Cricetulus griseus (Chinese hamster). Lineage: Eukaryota; Metazoa; Chordata; Mammalia; Rodentia; Cricetidae. The record is from RNAcentral.